Molecule: long non-coding RNA, 1544 nt
Filed under: Monodelphis domestica (gray short-tailed opossum)
Lineage: Eukaryota; Metazoa; Chordata; Mammalia; Didelphimorphia; Didelphidae
Description: lncRNA (ENSMODG00000040638.1)
Source: RNAcentral
UUCCCUUCCACAAACUAUACUUCACUGUGCCUGCUCUUUUUAACUAUCUCCUACAUGACAUUUUAUCUAUCAAUUCCAGGAAUUUUACUAUCUCUCCUGCCUGGAAUUCACUGCUCCUUAACUUUCCCUCCUGUUUCCAUGAUCUUCCUUCAAGUCUAAGCCAAACUUGGACCUUCAGCAAAAAAAUCUUUCUUAAUUUUCCUUAAUUUUGUUACCUGCCCUCUAAGAUCACCAUGAAUUUAUUCUCUCUAUAUAAUAUGUAUAUAUAAUUGUUUUCAAGUUAUUUUUCCCAUUAUAUUAUGGGAUUUUUUUGGAGAAGGGAAUAUUUAUUUUCUUUUUUCAUACACUCAGAACUUAGCACACUGCUUGGUAUGUAGUGGAUGUUCAAUAAAUACUUGCUAAUGAAAGCUCUAAAACUUUUAUUUAUAGAGAACACUGAGAGGAAAGGGACUUGCCUCAGGGACUCCAUAACUAAUAUGCCAGUUUAAGGCCUCUAUUUUAGAUCUUCCUAGUUUCAAGGGUAACUAUACUGUCAAACUCCAGGUAGAAGAGAUAUAAAAAGUAUAGAGGUGGGAAAACAAAGGAGAUGUUUGGGACAACACAAAUUAACACAGUAUAGCUAGAUUAGGUUAUGGUGUUAAGAAACAUAAUAUGAAGAUCAGUAGGAAGGAAACAGAUCACACAAUAGUAGCAUGAAUCUCAGUAUAAAUCCAAUAAUUCUUCAUAACUUAAAGAGUUAUUCACAAAAGAACAGUUUUAAUAUAAGGCUUAAUAUAAGCCCAUUGUGACCCUUCUAAAAUUGAAGAAACCUAAAUAAGCCAGCUAAGAUCAAACUGAAGCAAUGUCAAAUUGAAAUCAAAUAUUGAACAAUUGCAUUUAAAAAUUACUAGUCAUGUAACAAUCAGUAAUAAAGGCAAGUCAUUUGAAGAAAAAAAUAAUUGUGGUGUUAGAUGAUAGAAAAAGAGCAGAAGAAGAAAGAAGGAAGGACAUAAGGAAUGAGGGAAGGAAGGAAAGAAGGAAGGAAGGAAGAAGGAAGAAAAGAAGGAAGGAAGGAAGGAAGGAAGGAAAGAAGGAAGGAAAAAGGAAGGAAGGAAGGAAAAAAGUAAGUAAGGAAGGAAAAAGUAAGGAAGGAAGGAAAAAAGGGAGGAAGGAAGGAAGGAAGGAAGGAAGGAAGGAAGGAAGGAAGGAAGGAAGGAAGGAAGGAAGGAAGGAAGGAAGGAAGGAAGGAAGGAAGGAAGGAAGGAAGGAAGGAAGGAAGGAAGGAAGGAAGGAAGGAAGGAAAGAAAGAAAGAAAAAUUUCUUUUAUAACCCAGCUGUCACAGGGGUAAUUACAAGUGUGUGAAGAGGAAGGAUUUUCAAAAGCAGAUAAAGUUGAGUUGAUUCACAAAAAGCUCAGAACCACCCUCAUUAAGCUUUACUGAAGAUCUAUGUCUUAAAGUUCAUUCUGAAGAUGAAAGUACUAGAAGAACAAAGAGGAAGAAGAGAAGGGAAGGGUGUUCUUAACACAUAAGAAUGUAAUCCAUUUAAAGGAAAAUAUAUGCAUA